AUAGGAGUUGGCCAGAGGGAGAGAGAGAGGGACUCUAGGCCUCGAGAAGAGCACGUGCAGAGGUUCCGUGACACGAAAACGCCAGAACUGGCUGACUCUUGGGUGCUUGGAGACACCAUAUAAAUAAGGAACUCUGGCUGUGUGCAUUGGAGAGGAUAUUAACAGGGCUUGGCCUGGCUGUGAGGUGCAGAGAUGCUGUUUCUCUCAGGUAAGGAGUCAUAUUGGGGCAGGGUUUCCUAAUCCUUUUUUGACUCACAAAAUACACCUAGGAAAUGUUAAAUAAAUUGUCAUUUUUGAGUAGUAUAUGAUAAAGAAGUGAUUGAUUUUGACUAAAAAUAUUCAUGUUCUACUUUUAGAAUAUGAAAGACUGUAUUACAAAGAUCACUUGAAAUAAAAUUUUAGAUAACAUAA
Molecule: long non-coding RNA, 411 nt
Organism: Cercocebus atys (sooty mangabey)
Lineage: Eukaryota; Metazoa; Chordata; Mammalia; Primates; Cercopithecidae
Exons: 2
Source: RefSeq, a predicted model, not a curated record